CCCACAAACAUGGCAUUGUGUACUUCGAACAAACACACAGCAAUCUCAGAACUUCUGCAGGCAAGAUUUAUUUUGACAAUGUUUGUUUUUCACUAACGUUUGUCAUCAUGCAUGUGUGGUGUUCUGUACCUGGCUGUGCUAAUUACAAACAAGUGCGAAAAUAAGUUCUCUUUCACAAUUUUACCUACCAGAGAUUUACCCCGAUGCUGCCAGUGGCUGAGGCUAUCAAGAAUGAUUCGCCUUACAGUGACCAAAGAUGAUCAAAGGGAUUUUCAGGCUGAAGUGAUGCGAUACCAUCGAUUUUUUCCUUCACAACAAAACGGAUGAUUCUCGAUUAGAGAUGGUAGCAACAUGUGCUUCCAACCCCUAGUUCUGCCCAAGGUGAAGGUUAUCUAUCAUCAUUCCACAGUGGCCUGCUGAAAAAUACCCCAAAGCUGCGGCAUUUUGAGUACAAGCGCAUGAGGGAGCAGACACACCUUGCGGUUAUGGAGGACAACAAGAUUGUAGGACAGAAACCAGCAAGGGACACCGAAAAGGAGACGUGCAGUACCAGCAAAUUUUAUGCAAGAGGACUAAACAGUUGGUGGUUAAGAAUCCCUACAUCACUUUCGGCAGUCUUAUCCAGCUGGCCGUUCAGCGCAGACAAGACAGGAAAAGACCAUUCACCAUAAGCACAAAGAGACUCAGCUUCUCCAGCCCACCAUGCCGAACACCAUUACCAGUGUACCAAAUGCCGGAUAAAGGACUAUGGCUGCAUUUACACAGUCAGCCCAAUUCUGAUAAUUUUUUCACUAAUUAGUCUUUUGACCAAUAAGUUCUGAAAAAGAUCUGAUGCGAUUAAGACCAAUUAGUGGGAAAAAAGAUCAGAAUUGCACUGCCUGUGUAAACACAGCCAGUGUGGCUCAGCAUAACACCAUGUAGAACAGGGGUCUCCAACCCGGUUCCUGGAGAGCUACCCUCCUGUAGUUUUUCUCCAACCCCAGUUGUAACUAACCUGGUUUAGCUUAUCAACCAAUUAUUACAAUUCAGGUGUGCUAGAUUAGGGUUGGAGUGAAAACCUACAGGACGACAGCUCUCCAAGAACAGGGUUGGAGAGCCGUGAUGUAGAAUAUUUUCUAUCAAUCUUUUAAAUUUGUCUGCCUUUAUGGAUUCACAGAAGAUAUUUAUCUAAGCUGUACAUGGCUCUGUAGCAUCAAACAAAUGCUAGACGUUCAGAGAUCCAAAUAAUGUUUUUGUCAAAAUCUAAAAUACGGUGGAGCGUACUCUUUUACGCUAACUCAAGACAACUGGGUAUUCAACAAGAAUGUUAUGGUAAAAGUAAGAUACCAUUUAUUUUUGUAAUGAACAGUGUAGUACAGUUCAGUGUGUCCGAGUGUGUCUACACCUGAGACACAAGUGCAGAGAACUGUAGCUACAGAUUGUUACACCAGAUAGUGAUUUACCCAAAGAUUUUUGCCGACAUCUUGUCUAUUUCAAGUCUUCUCUCAUUGAUCGAGACAGGUGGGUGUCCACCCCAAAGUGUUGCAUGUCAUGAUGACUAAGACCGGUCUUGAUCAAUGAGAGAAGACUUGAAAUAGACAAGAUGGCGGCUUACACAUUGUUGGAUUACUUAAUGGAGCCAAAAAAGUAUUUAUUUUAAUAACAGAGCAUUUUCUCAAUUCAAACUGACCCCCUGCAACUGGACAUGGACAGUUUCUCCAAAUCGAGGAUGAAGACAGCAUAGCUAAGGUUGGUAGAAAAUCCUCUGUGCUACACAAACCAUCCCUAUCAUGUAACUCCCAGUAAUGGAUACCAAAAAUCUUUGAUUAAAUCACAUCUGGUGUAACAAUCUGUAGUUAAGAGAACUGGUGAUCAUGAUGAAAUUGCCAUUCACAGAGAAAAAUACAGUAUGAUCAGUGUAGUAAUGUUCAGGGAAUUCUUGUAAAGCUGUGGGAGGAGUGUUGUCGUGAUCACACUGCCAUUCAGCACCUCAUGAAUCAUCUGCUUGAAAUCCAGCAUUAGGUCUAAUCCCUUGAGAGGGAUACAGUUCAGCUACAAUGACACACGCAGGCAAAGGAAUUCUGUUUCUUUAUCUAGAGUCCACUCUUUGGAAGGCACCACACUUGUCUGUAAGACAAAAAAAGAUUACUCUAUUGUACAGUUUGAACGACAGUUGAACUGUGCCAGCAUAACAUCAACAUUAGGGUACACUAGUUGAACAUGCAUGCAUGUGCACAGAUAUUAUAUUAACAACAAUAUCUAGCCUAAUUAUAGAAAGACAUAUGGCAUAACCCUCAACCUUCGCACAGUGACCAGACAAAUGUACCUAGGUAGGUGGCAUACAGUAUCUACCUACAGCCAUGUCCAUCAGGCAUGCUUAGGCAAAUAUUUUUUUUAAAUAGUAAAACCAGCUUCAGUUUUAGAGAUUUACAACAGUAAAUUGUUGUAUUAUUCUUUCUCCUCACGGUUUGCUAGUAAACUUAGCUAGCUAGCUGGAUAUACAAUACCUGUUAUUUACAUCUGUUUGGAAUACCUAUAAUUGCCUAUAAUUUUGUGAGAUUGGUUAUGAUUGUGACUGUGGAUGCAUUUCAAUGUCAUCACUCGUCAAUUAUGUUACAUAGUUAGUAAAAUUAUGUACAGUUGCUGUUGCUGAUGUUACACGUUUGCUAACAAGUUACAAACGCGAGGCGUGGCACAUGAAUUAGCAGGCGCCAGGCUACUAGCUAGUCAACUCAUGUCCUAACGUUUGCUGGUAAACCUAGUUUAACCCUCCCGUUGUCCUAGGGUCAAAAUGACCCGCCACUGUG
Long non-coding RNA from Coregonus clupeaformis (lake whitefish), 2786 nucleotides. RefSeq lists it as uncharacterized. Lineage: Eukaryota; Metazoa; Chordata; Actinopteri; Salmoniformes; Salmonidae. The record is from RefSeq and is a predicted model, not a curated record. The transcript has 4 exons.